This 67-nucleotide non-coding RNA is filed under the name uncultured Phascolarctobacterium sp. Its description in RNAcentral is "Fluoride riboswitch". It matches the Rfam family "Fluoride riboswitch aptamer (crcB RNA motif)", at positions 4 to 60 of the family's 64-position model. The record is from RNAcentral. Lineage: Bacteria; Bacillati; Bacillota; Negativicutes; Acidaminococcales; Acidaminococcaceae.
AAAACAGGGAAUGAGGUUCUCCCAGGAUAAUUAGAUCCGAACCGCUUUAAGCUGAUGACUUCUGCUC